This 346-nucleotide unclassified non-coding RNA is filed under the name soil metagenome. Its description in RNAcentral is "partial contains 5.8S ribosomal RNA, internal transcribed spacer 2, and large subunit ribosomal RNA". The stretch from base 1 to 120 matches the Rfam family "5.8S ribosomal RNA", at positions 35 to 154 of the family's 154-position model. The record is from RNAcentral.
GAUGAAGAACGUAGCAAAAUGCGAUAAGUAAUGUGAAUUGCAGAAUUCAGUGAAUCAUCGAAUCUUUGAACGCACAUUGCGCCCGCUGGUAUUCCGGCGGGCAUGCCUGUUCGAGCGUCAUUUCAACCCUCAAGCCCCCGGGUUUGGUGUUGGGGAUCGGCUCUGCCCUUCUGGGCGGUGCCGCCCCCGAAAUACAUUGGCGGUCUCGCUGCAGCCUCCAUUGCGUAGUAGCUAACACCUCGCAACUGGAACGCGGCGCGGCCAUGCCGUAAAACCCCAACUUCUGAAUGUUGACCUCGGAUCAGGUAGGAAUACCCGCUGAACUUAAGCAUAUCUAAGCGGAGGA